UACGGGAAAAUAGCGCAAGCGAUUUACACAGGUUUUGUGUUAAAGUUACAUAUUUAAACGGCAACGUUUUUCAACUAAUCAGCUUCUUUUAUUUUAUUGACGUUAUAAUUAAUCUUUUUUUUUUUUUGGUUCAACGUUUUACUAAUCUUCUUUUUUUUUUUUUUUGCUAAACAACGUAUUAAUCUUCAUGUAAGAAGAAGAAGACAUGUAUGGUAUGGAGCCAAGAUCCAUUAGAAGCGGAAGCAGUAGCCUUGACUUGGCGGCAAUGAUGUACAUUGAUAACUUGGGGUUUUGAGACAGUCAUCUUUGAGAGUGACUCCAUGAAUCCGAUGAAGACAGUAUAAAACUACAAGAGUGGUCGGCUCACAUGGAGUUCUAAGCACCAUCUUGAAUCCCUCUCACUAUAACUUUCCUCAUCCUUUGUUUUUGGCAGCCAUAAUGGCAAUAUCUGUGCCUG
Molecule: long non-coding RNA, 457 nt
Filed under: Capsella rubella
Lineage: Eukaryota; Viridiplantae; Streptophyta; Magnoliopsida; Brassicales; Brassicaceae
Description: long non-coding RNA (CRUB_LNC000993)
Source: RNAcentral